AAGUCGUAACAAGGUUUCCGUAGGUGAACCUGCGGAAGUGUGCUCGCACCUUUGUCAGAGCGUGGCAAUCCCUAGUAAAUCAUCGCCGAACAGUUUUCGAUUUAGGGACUUCCACAAAGAGUGUGCUCGUAGCGGGAGGCAAGUGGCCUGGCAUUCCCAAGCAGUUGGUGUCUGAAAGUGUCACUGGCUGUGUAAGGAAUCGUUGGAGGCCGACACGGCCGACGACCGGGUCACCGGGCUCACGCCCCUUAAUCACAACUUAAUGCAUGUCAGACGCGCCUGCGCUUAAUUGUGCGGCGACCAUAAAACUCGAACAACUGUUAUC
RNAcentral lists this unclassified non-coding RNA (325 nucleotides) under fungal sp. RNAcentral describes it as "partial internal transcribed spacer region". The record is from RNAcentral. Lineage: Eukaryota; Fungi.